AUUGAACGCUGACGGAAUGCUUUACACAUGCAAGUCGAACGGUAGAGGGGGCAACCCCUCGAGAGUGGCGAACGGGUGAGUAAUAUAUCGGAACGUGCCCAGUCGUGGGGGAUAACGUAGCGAAGGUUACGCUAAUACCGCAUACGAUCUAAGGAUGAAAGCGGGGGAUCGCAAGACCUCGCGCGAUUGGAGCGGCCGAUAUCAGAUUAGGUAGUUGGUGGGGUAAAGGCUCACCAAGCCAACGAUCUGUAGCUGGUCUGAGAGGACGACCAGCCACACUGGAACUGAGACACGGUCCAGACUCCUACGGGAGGCAGCAGUGGGGAAUUUUGGACAAUGGACGCAAGUCUGAUCCAGCCAUUCCGCGUGCAGGAUGAAGGCCCUCGGGUUGUAAACUGCUUUUGUACGGAACGAAAAGGUCUCUCUUAAUACGGGGGGCUCAUGACGGUACCGUAAGAAUAAGCACCGGCUAACUACGUGCCAGCCGCCGCGGUAA
This 496-nucleotide ribosomal RNA is filed under the name uncultured bacterium. RNAcentral describes it as "partial 16S ribosomal RNA". It matches the Rfam family "Bacterial small subunit ribosomal RNA", at positions 30 to 523 of the family's 1533-position model. The record is from RNAcentral.